Alosa sapidissima (American shad) is the source of this 187-nucleotide long non-coding RNA. RefSeq lists it as uncharacterized. The record is from RefSeq and is a predicted model, not a curated record. The transcript has 2 exons. Lineage: Eukaryota; Metazoa; Chordata; Actinopteri; Clupeiformes; Clupeidae.
ACAUGAGUGAGGCAGGUGGUCGUGUGACGAAUGGAAGCAAGAGUAAACGUUGUUUUAAUAUGGCGCAAGGGAGGUCAACAUCCCAGAUAUUGUGAUGUAUGAUCCUUUACAGCAGUGGACUCCAACCUUUUUGGGAAUGAGGGCUACCUGAAGGACCCAAAAUCACAUGGAUGAAUAAAGGCCUAUG